AUUAAACGCUGGCGGCAUGCCUUACACAUGCAAGUCGAACGGUAGCGCGGGGCAACCUGGCGACGAGUGGCGAACGGGUGAGUAAAGCAUCGGAACGUGCCCUGGAAUGGGGGAUAACGUAGCGAAAGUUACGCUAAUACCGCAUAUUCUGUGAGCAGGAAAGCAGGGGAUCGCAAGACCUUGCGUUCUGGGAGCGGCCGAUGUCGGAUUAGCUAGUUGGUGGGGUAAAAGCCUACCAAGGCGACGAUCCGUAGCGGGUCUGAGAGGAUGAUCCGCCACACUGGGACUGAGACACGGCCCAGACUCCUACGGGAGGCAGCAGUGGGGAAUUUUGGACAAAUGGGCGGAAGCCUGAUCCAGCCAUGCCGCGUGAGUGAAGAAGGCCU
This 386-nucleotide ribosomal RNA is filed under the name uncultured bacterium. RNAcentral describes it as "bacterial SSU rRNA". It matches the Rfam family "Bacterial small subunit ribosomal RNA", at positions 29 to 417 of the family's 1533-position model. The record is from RNAcentral.